AGUGAACGCUGGCGGUAGGCCUAACACAUGCAAGUCGAACGGCAGCACAGUAAGAGCUUGCUCUUACGGGUGGCGAGUGGCGGACGGGUGAGGAAUACAUCGGAAUCUACUUUUUCGUGGGGGAUAACGUAGGGAAACUUACGCUAAUACCGCAUACGACCUACGGGUGAAAGCAGGGGAUCUUCGGACCUUGCGCGAUUGAAUGAGCCGAUGUCGGAUUAGCUAGUUGGCGGGGUAAAGGCCCACCAAGGCGACGAUCCGUAGCUGGUCUGAGAGGAUGAUCAGCCACUCUGGAACUGAGACACGGUCCAGACUCCUACGGGAGGCAGCAGUGGGGAAUAUUGGACAAUGGGCGCAAGCCUGAUCCAGCCAUACCGCGUGGGUGAAGAAGGCCUUCGGGUUGUAAAGCCCUUUUGUUGGGAAAGAAAAGCAGCAGGUUAAUACCCCGCUGUUCUGACGUUACCCAAAGAAUAAGCACCGGCUAACUUCGUG
Molecule: ribosomal RNA, 492 nt
Filed under: uncultured bacterium
Lineage: Bacteria
Description: partial 16S ribosomal RNA
Rfam family: Bacterial small subunit ribosomal RNA
Source: RNAcentral